CCUACGGGAUGCUGCAGUGAGGAAUAUUGGUCAAUGGACGAGAGUCUGAACCAGCCAAGUAGCGUGAAGGAUGACUGCCCUAUGGGUUGUAAACUUCUUUUAUAUGGGAAUAAAAUGUUCCACGUGUGGGAUUUUGUAUGUACCAUAUGAAUAAGGAUCGGCUAACUCCGUGCCAGCAGCCGCGGUAAUACGGAGGAUCCGAGCGUUAUCCGGAUUUAUUGGGUUUAAAGGGAGCGUAGGUGGAUUGUUAAGUCAGUUGUGAAAGUUUGCGGCUCAACCGUAAAAUUGCAGUUGAAACUGGCAGUCUUGAGUACAGUAGAGGUGGGCGGAAUUCGUGGUGUAGCGGUGAAAUGCUUAGAUAUCACGAAGAACUCCGAUUGCGAAGGCAGUUCACUGGACUGCAACUGACACUGAGGCUCGAAAGUGUGGGUAUCAAACAGGAUUAGAUACCCGAGUAGU
Molecule: ribosomal RNA, 459 nt
Filed under: uncultured bacterium
Lineage: Bacteria
Description: partial 16S ribosomal RNA
Rfam family: Bacterial small subunit ribosomal RNA
Source: RNAcentral